RNAcentral lists this ribosomal RNA (500 nucleotides) under uncultured bacterium. RNAcentral describes it as "partial 16S ribosomal RNA". It matches the Rfam family "Bacterial small subunit ribosomal RNA", at positions 28 to 507 of the family's 1533-position model. The record is from RNAcentral.
GACGAACGCUGGCGGCGUGCUUAACACAUGCAAGUCGAACGGGCCUGUCUUCUUUUUUGGGGGGUGGGUUGAGUGGCGAACGGGUGAGUAUCACGUGAGUAACCUGCCCUUCGGUCCUGGAUAACCGCUUGAAAGGGCGGCUAAUACGGGGUGGUCCGGUUGGUCCGCAUGGGCUGGUCGGGAUAGAUUCACUGUUUUUGGUGUUUCGGCGGGGGAUGGGCUCGCGGCCUAUCAGCUUGUUGGUGGGGUGAUGGCCUACCAAGGCGGUGACGGGUAGCCGGCCUGAGAGGGUGGGCGGCCACACUGGGACUGAGAUACGGCCCAGACUCCUGCGGGAGGAAGCAGUGGGGGGUAUUGCACAAUGGGCGGAAGCCUGAUGCAGCGACGUCGCGUGAGGGAGGGAGGCCUUCGGGUUGUGAACCUCUGUUUCCGGUGGUGAAGGCCCUGUCCGUGUGGUGGGGUUGACGGUAGCCGGGGAUGAAGCGCCGGCUAACUACGUG